Molecule: ribosomal RNA, 559 nt
Filed under: uncultured Shewanella sp.
Lineage: Bacteria; Pseudomonadati; Pseudomonadota; Gammaproteobacteria; Alteromonadales; Shewanellaceae
Description: bacterial SSU rRNA
Rfam family: Bacterial small subunit ribosomal RNA
Source: RNAcentral
CCACUGCUUUGCCUACGGGAGGCAGCAGUGGGGAAUAUUGCACAAUGGGGGAAACCCUGAUGCAGCCAUGCCGCGUGUGUGAAGAAGGCCUUCGGGUUGUAAAGCACUUUCAGCGAGGAGGAAAGGGUGUAAGUUAAUACCUUACAUCUGUGACGUUACUCGCAGAAGAAGCACCGGCUAACUCCGUGCCAGCAGCCGCGGUAAUACGGAGGGUGCGAGCGUUAAUCGGAAUUACUGGGCGUAAAGCGUGCGCAGGCGGUUUGUUAAGCGAGAUGUGAAAGCCCCGGGCUCAACCUGGGAACCGCAUUUCGAACUGGCAAACUAGAGUCUUGUAGAGGGGGGUAGAAUUCCAGGUGUAGCGGUGAAAUGCGUAGAGAUCUGGAGGAAUACCGGUGGCGAAGGCGGCCCCCUGGACAAAGACUGACGCUCAGGCACGAAAGCGUGGGGAGCAAACAGGAUUAGAUACCCUGGUAGUCCACGCCGUAAACGAUGUCUACUCGGAGUUUGGUGUCUUGAACACUGGGCUCUCAAGCUAACGCAUUAAGUAGACCGCCUGGGA